Molecule: transfer RNA, 62 nt
Filed under: Magicicada cassinii (seventeen-year cicada)
Lineage: Eukaryota; Metazoa; Arthropoda; Insecta; Hemiptera; Cicadidae
Also listed under: 1 other name
Description: Magicicada cassini (seventeen-year cicada) tRNA-Cys
Source: RNAcentral
AGUCUUAUAUUUAACAAUAAUAUUAAAUUGCAAAUUUAAAGGUGAUUAAAAAUCUAAGGCUU